Molecule: transfer RNA, 69 nt
Filed under: Ictidomys tridecemlineatus (thirteen-lined ground squirrel)
Lineage: Eukaryota; Metazoa; Chordata; Mammalia; Rodentia; Sciuridae
Description: Spermophilus tridecemlineatus (thirteen-lined ground squirrel) tRNA
Rfam family: tRNA
About the family: Transfer RNA (tRNA) molecules are approximately 80 nucleotides in length.
Source: Rfam by way of RNAcentral
GGGACUGUAGCUCAGUGGUAGAGCACUUGCCUUCUAUGUGUGAAGUACUGGGUUCGAUCCUCAGCACCA